AUUGAACGCUGGCGGCAGGCCUAACACAUGCAAGUCGAGCGGAUGAAGGGAGCUUGCUCCUGGAUUCAGCGGCGGACGGGUGAGUAAUGCCUAGGAAUCUGCCUGGUAGUGGGGGAUAACGUCCGGAAACGGGCGCUAAUACCGCAUACGUCCUGAGGGAGAAAGUGGGGGAUCUUCGGACCUCACGCUAUCAGAUGAGCCUAGGUCGGAUUAGCUAGUUGGUGGGGUAAAGGCCUACCAAGGCGACGAUCCGUAACUGGUCUGAGAGGAUGAUCAGUCACACUGGAACUGAGACACGGUCCAGACUCCUACGGGAGGCAGCAGUGGGGAAUAUUGGGCAAUGGGCGAAAGCCUGAUCCAGCCAUGCCGCGUGUGUGAAGAAGGUCUUCGGAUUGUAAAGCACUUUAAGUUGGGAGGAAGGGCAGUAAGUUAAUACCUUGCUGUUUUGACGGUACCAACAGAAUAAGCACCGGCUAACUUCGUG
Molecule: ribosomal RNA, 484 nt
Filed under: uncultured bacterium
Lineage: Bacteria
Description: partial 16S ribosomal RNA
Rfam family: Bacterial small subunit ribosomal RNA
Source: RNAcentral